Molecule: ribosomal RNA, 435 nt
Filed under: uncultured bacterium
Lineage: Bacteria
Description: bacterial SSU rRNA
Rfam family: Bacterial small subunit ribosomal RNA
Source: RNAcentral
UGGGGAAUCUUGCACAAUGGGCGAAAGCCUGAUGCAGCAACGCCGCGUGCGGGAAGACAGCCCUAGGGUUGUAAACCGCUUUCAGCAGGGAAGAAACUGACGGUACCUGCAGAAGAAGAUGCGGCCAACUACGUGCCAGCAGCCGCGGUGACACGUAGGCAUCAAGCGUUAUCCGGAUUUAUUGGGCGUAAAGAGCUCGUAGGCGGUUCGGUAAGUCGGGUGUGAAAACUCUGGGCUCAACCCAGAGAGGCCACUCGAUACUGCUGUGACUAGAGUGCGGUAGGGGAGCGGGGAAUUCCUGGUGUAGCGGUGAAAUGCGCAGAUAUCAGGAGGAACACCAGUGGCGAAGGCGCCGCUCUGGGCCGUAACUGACGCUGAGGAGCGAAAGCAUGGGUAGCAAACAGGAUUAGAUACCCUGGUAGUCCAUGCCGUAAA